RNAcentral lists this long non-coding RNA (1243 nucleotides) under Heterocephalus glaber (naked mole-rat). RNAcentral describes it as "lncRNA (ENSHGLG00100041735.1)". The record is from RNAcentral. Lineage: Eukaryota; Metazoa; Chordata; Mammalia; Rodentia; Bathyergidae.
CUCUGCCUGGCUGUGUGACCCUUGGGCCGAACCCAGAAGCCACACUGAGUGGAGGGAGGCACCUAAGCCUCUUUGCAGCUCUGCAGGAAACUGAGUGACCCACAGGAAAAUGUAUCGCAGCAGACGAAAGUGCACCUUCACUUCAAGUUUGAAGGCCUGGUCGCCGGAGCAGAGCAGCCGAGAGCCCGGAGACGACCCCGCGCGGAGCUGGGGUUCAGUGCGGGUGCCAGACGCGUCGCCUGGGUCUCCAGCCCUUCCGUGUGGGCGGCGCAGCCCCCCGCCCCCUGCCCCAUUGGCUGCCGCCCUGCGGCCCAAAUAAAUCAGCGGGGACAGGCCGCGCCAGGCCCGGCUGCCGAGGCAGAGCUCGGCCAGGGCCAGCGGGGCCCCAGCGGCCCCGGAGAGGCCGGAGGAGAGGGGGAGGACCUCUGAAGAAAGAAAAACAAAAGCAAGGAAAGAAAGGCGACAAAUCUGAGAAACACGAUUUAAAAAAUACAAUUGGAUUCAAAGGAAAUAAAGCGUCCAGAACAUUUACGUAACUGCUUACACACGAGCUUUGCAAAAUGCAGUCCGUUUCAACACUUGGUCCAACUCGCCACGGGACCGGGACCGAAGCGCUGCGAAACCUUGGACGCCGCGGUGGGAACCUUUCUGGGGGCUGCAGUCGAUCGAACUCGGGUUAAAAUUUAAAGCCCUGGAUCCGGCUCCGUGGCCGGUCUUCCCUCCAUUCCGGAGUUUUCCACCUUUACCCUUUCCCAACUCGCUGCGACUGGGACCCGCGCGGGGCCGGGGGCUGGCGAGGAGCGACGUCAUAAAAGUGACUAAAUCGGGCGAGAACGGUUUAUGGACUUUCUCGGUAGCAAUUUAAAAUUCAGGUCUUCAGCAGCAAUUUACAACGAAUGAGAAACGGAGAAUUUCCGUCCACUUCCUGGAUUCCCCAUCCCGCACUGCCGCCCCCACCCUCCCCAGGUUCCCAACUCACGUUCCAGGACCAGGAAACCCUGCUUGCGAAGAGCCCUCGCCGUCCCUGCGAGCCCCGCUUUACCACGAACCUCCCUACCCCAGUUCAGCUCUGCCCAGGCGCCUCUCCCUUCCCCAACUGGAAAAGCACAGAAAUAAAUAUUAAAAAAAAACCACCCCAAAACAAAAAUCAGAGCCCAAACGCGCACAGGGAGACUGACCUUUGGAAAAUCAUUUACUUCGAUGAGGCCGGGGAGGGGAGGCGCACUAACGCACCCCCGCGAGA